UACAGAGGGGGCAAGCGUUGUUCGGAAUCACUGGGCGUAAAGCGCACGUAGGCGGCUUUUUAAGUCAGGGGUGAAAUCCUGGAGCUCAACUCCAGAACUGCCUUUGAUACUGAAGAUCUUGAGUUCGGGAGAGGUGAGUGGAACUGCGAGUGUAGAGGUGAAAUUCGUAGAUAUUCGCAAGAACACCAGUGGCGAAGGCGGCGCACUGGCUCGAUACUGACGCUGAGGCACGAAAGCGUGGGGAGCAAACAGG
RNAcentral lists this ribosomal RNA (253 nucleotides) under uncultured bacterium. RNAcentral's name for it is "partial 16S ribosomal RNA". It matches the Rfam family "Bacterial small subunit ribosomal RNA", at positions 524 to 776 of the family's 1533-position model. The record is from RNAcentral.